RNAcentral lists this ribosomal RNA (465 nucleotides) under uncultured bacterium. RNAcentral describes it as "partial 16S ribosomal RNA". It matches the Rfam family "Bacterial small subunit ribosomal RNA", at positions 338 to 795 of the family's 1533-position model. The record is from RNAcentral.
CCUACGGGAGGCAGCAGUAGGGAAUCUUCCACAAUGGACGAAAGUCUGAUGGAGCAACGCCGCGUGAGUGAAGAAGGGUUUCGGCUCGUAAAGCUCUGUUGGUAGUGAAGAAAGAUAGAGGUAGUAACUGGCCUUUAUUUGACGGUAAUUACUUAGAAAGUCACGGCUAACUCCGUGCCAGCAGCCGCGGUAAUGCGUAGGUGGGAAUCGUUGUCCGGAUUUAUUGGGCGUAAAGCGAGUGUAGGCGGGCUGAUAAGUCUGUUGUGAAAGCUUGCGGCUCAACCGGAAAAUUGCAUUAGAUACUGUCAGACUUGAGUACAGUAGAGGUAGGCGGAAUUCGUGGUGUAGCGGUGAAAUGCGUAGAUAUAGCGAAGAACACCGAUGGCGAAGGCAGCUUACUAGACUGCCACUGACAUUGAGGCUCGAAAGUGUGGGUAUCAAACAGGAUUAGAUACCCUGGUAGUC